RNAcentral lists this ribosomal RNA (253 nucleotides) under uncultured bacterium. Its description in RNAcentral is "partial 16S ribosomal RNA". It matches the Rfam family "Bacterial small subunit ribosomal RNA", at positions 524 to 776 of the family's 1533-position model. The record is from RNAcentral.
UACGUAGGGUGCAAGCGUUGUCCGGAAUUAUUGGGCGUAAAGCGCGUGUAGGCGGCCAGAUAAGUCCGCUGUGAAAUCUCGAGGCUCAACUUCGAGCUGUCGGUGGAAACUGUCUGGCUAGAGUCCGGAAGAGGAGAGUGGAAUUCCUGGUGUAGCGGUGAAAUGCGCAGAUAUCAGGAAGAACACCAAUGGCGAAGGCAGCUCUCUGGGACGGUACUGACGCUGAGACGCGAAAGCGUGGGGAGCGAACAGG